This 424-nucleotide ribosomal RNA is filed under the name uncultured bacterium. RNAcentral describes it as "partial 16S ribosomal RNA". It matches the Rfam family "Bacterial small subunit ribosomal RNA", at positions 359 to 774 of the family's 1533-position model. The record is from RNAcentral.
GAAUAUUGGACAAUGGGGGGAACCCUGACCCAGCCAUGCCGCGUGUGUGAAGAAGGCCUUUUGGUUGUAAAGCACUUUAAGCGAGGAGGAGGCUACUGAGAUUAAUACUCUAGGAGAGUGGACGUUACUCGCAGAAUCAGCACCGUCUAACCACGUGCCAGCCGCCGCGGUAAUACAGAGGGUGCCAGCGUUAAUCGGAUUUACUGGGCGUAAAGCGCGCGUAGGUGGCCAAUUAAGUCAAAUGUGAAAUCCCCGAGCUUAACUUGGGAAUUGCAUUCGAUACUGGUUGGCUAGAGUAUGGGAGAGGAUGGUAGAAUUCCAGGUGUAGCGGUGAAAUGCGUAGAGAUCUGGAGGAAUACCGAUGGCGAAGGCAGCCAUCUGGCCUAAUACUGACACUGAGGUGCGAAAGCAUGGGGAGCAAACA